This 27-nucleotide non-coding RNA is filed under the name Mus musculus (house mouse). Lineage: Eukaryota; Metazoa; Chordata; Mammalia; Rodentia; Muridae. The record is from RNAcentral.
UGCUUUCUGUGUAGAACUUCCCCAAUC